CGUCAUCCUCCAAUCAGAUGAUGGAGAUAUAUAUGAAGUCAUCCUCCAAUCAGAUGAUGGAGAUAUAUAUGACGUCAUCCUCCAAUCAGAUGAUGGAGAUAUAUAUGACGUCAUCCUCCAAUCAGAUGAUGGAGAUAUAUAUGACGUCAUCCUCCAAUCAGAUGAUGGAGAUAUAUAUGACGUCAUCCUCCAAUCAGAUGAUGGAGAUACGCGGAACUAUUCAACGCUGUCACGAAACACUUCGUCAAACAUUUGCCUUCGCUCUUAAAACCUGGUAUUUUUUUCUCCUUCCACUUUAUCUGUUCAGGUAUUUUUCCAUUUAGCUUUAGACAUUUUGUUCACAAGACUAACUACAGGCAGGAAAAAGGUUAGCGUGUUGGCUACAAAUCAUUCAUCUGGCAAGACAUUAGAAUAAUCAGAAGGCAUAGACAAAAGUACAUAACAAUCAUCGACCACAUUGUCCAUCUCUACAGAGCACAUUAUCCAUCUCUACAGAGCACAUUAUCCAUCUCUAUAGAACACAUUAUCCAUCUCUACAGAGCACAUUAUCCAUCUCUAUAGAACACAUUAUCCAUCUCUACAGAGCACAUUAUCCAUCUCUACAGAGCACAUUAUCCAUCUCUACAGAGCACAUUAUCCAUCUCUAUAGAACACAUUAUCCAUCUCUACAGAGCACAUUAUCCAUCUCUACAGAGCACAUUAUCCAUCUCUACAGAGCACAUUAUCCAUCUCUAUAGAGCACAUUAUCCAUCUCUACAGAGCACAUUAUCCAUCUCUAUAGAGCACAUUAUCCAUCUCUAUAGAGCACAUUAUCCAUCUCUACAGAGCACAUUAUCCAUCUCUAUAGAACACAUUAUCCAUCUCUACAGAGCACAUUAUCCAUCUCUAUAGAACACAUUAUCCAUCUCUACAGAACACAUUAUCCAGCUCUAUAGUAGCUGUGUCCAGCUGUCAUCUGUACAGCCGUUUCCAACACACCUAGUCUGUGUCCAAAUGGCACCCUAUUCUCUACGUAGUGCACUACUUUUGAAGAGGGCCAAUAGGGCUCUGGUCUAAAGUAGUGCACUAUGUAGGGAAUAUGGAGCCAUUUUGGAUGCUCCGCAACAACCCCAUGAUGGUAUUGAGGACAUUCACUACAGUAUCUAUUCUCUUCUGAUUCAAAACCAACCAACCAGCGUUCCAGUUUGCUUCAAACAAAGAAGAAGGGUGAACCACCCCACCCAACCCAGGCACAACCCAGGCUUAGGCACAACCCAGGCUCAGAUACAGCUGAUGUUCACAUACCCCAGCCAACCCAGGCUCAGGUACAACCCGGUCUCAGGUACAACCCGGUCUCAGGUACAACCCAGUCUCAGGUACAACCAGGUCUCAGGUACAACCCAGGCUCAGAUACAGCUGAUGUUCACAUACCCCAGACAACACAGUCUCAGGUACAACCCAGUCUCAGGUACAACCCAGUCUCAGGUACAACCCAGUCUCAGGUACAACCCAGUCUCAGGUACAACCCAGUCUCAGGUACAACCCGGUCUCAGGUACAACCCAGUCUCAGGUACAACCCAGUCUCAGGUACAACCCAGGCUCAGACACAGCUGAUGUUCACAUAUUACCUUGUUUUUAUUUCCCCUGUUGUCUGUCCUCCUCAGAAGGAGAGAUUGAGUUUCACAGACAAAGUACCCAACCUCUGGUUCUGGUAUGGAAUCAGCUUCAUCGUCACAGUAACUACAACUGUUAUUAUUAUUAUGAUUAUAUACCAGUUUCACUCUAUGUUGUUAUUGGCCUAUGGCAAAUAGGCUGUUUGGUGUUUAGCCUCGGACAUGCGUCCUAAAAGGCACCCUAUUCCCUAUAUACAGUGCACUACUUUUGACCCGGGCCUGUAUAUAGUGUACUAGUGUCUGGGCCCUUGUAGUGCACUACAUAGGGAAUAGGGUGCCAUUUGGGACAUACCUUGGUUAUUGUACUGGGCACAAGAUACAGAAAGACAACGGUAUCUGGUGUAGUAGUUGUUGUUAGUGAAGCUGGCUGCCGUGGCUGGACAGGAGCACCCGGUGGAACAACAGCUAGCCCACCGUUGCUGUUCUCCUCUUGUUACCCUUGAUGUGGGUCGUGGCUUUGGGGUGGACGUAUUGGGGAGUCUUAAAUGUUUCCUCAGCUAGUCUCUACCUGGGUGAAAGUUUGUGACCAUGUACUGUGUAUUC
Long non-coding RNA from Oncorhynchus tshawytscha (Chinook salmon), 2195 nucleotides. Lineage: Eukaryota; Metazoa; Chordata; Actinopteri; Salmoniformes; Salmonidae. The record is from Ensembl.